GGGUUGUGAGGUUAAGCGACUAAGCGUACACGGUGGAUGCCCUGGCAGUCAGAGGCGAUGAAGGACGUGCUAAUCUGCGAAAAGCGUCGGUAAGGUGAUAUGAACCGUUAUAACCGGCGAUGUCCGAAUGGGGAAACCCAGUGCAAUUCGUUGCACUAUCGUUAACUGAAUACAUAGGUUAACGAGGCGAACCGGGGGAACUGAAACAUCUAAGUACCCCGAGGAAAAGAAAUCAACCGAGAUUCCCCCAGUAGCGGCGAGCGAACGGGGAGCAGCCCGGAGUCUGAAUCAGCUUGUGUGUUAGUGGAAGCGUCUGGAAAGUCGCAGGGUACAGGGUGAUACUCCCGUACACUAAAACGCACAGGUUGUGAACUCGAAGAGUAGGGCGGGACACGUGGUAUCCUGUCUGAAUAUGGGGGGACCAUCCUCCAAGGCUAAAUACUCCUGACUGACCGAUAGUGAACCAGUACCGUGAGGGAAAGGCGAAAAGAACCCCGGCGAGGGGAGUGAAAAAGAACCUGAAACCGUGUACGUACAAGCAGUAGGAGCCCACUAGUUGGGUGACUGCGUACCUUUUGUAUAAUGGGUCAGCGACUUAUAUUCUGUAGCAAGGUUAACCGUAUAGGGGAGCCGCAGGGAAACCGAGUCUUAACUGGGCGUUAAGUUGCAGGGUAUAGACCCGAAACCCGGUGAUCUAGCCAUGGGCAGGUUGAAGGUUGGGUAACACUAACUGGAGGACCGAACCGACUAAUGUUGAAAAAUUAGCGGAUGACUUGUGGCUGGGGGUGAAAGGCCAAUCAAACCGGGAGAUAGCUGGUUCUCCCCGAAAGCUAUUUAGGUAGCGCCUCGUGAAUUCAUCUUCGGGGGUAGAGCACUGUUUCGGCUAGGGGGUCAUCCCGACUUACCAACCCGAUGCAAACUACGAAUACCGAAGAAUGUUAUCACGGGAGACACACGGCGGGUGCUAACGUCCGUCGUGAAGAGGGAAACAACCCAGACCGCCAGCUAAGGUCCCAAAGUCAUGGUUAAGUGGGAAACGAUGUGGGAAGGCCCAGACAGCCAGGAUGUUGGCUUAGAAGCAGCCAUCAUUUAAAGAAAGCGUAAUAGCUCACUGGUCGAGUCGGCCUGCGCGGAAGAUGUAACGGGGCUAAACCAUGCACCGAAGCUGCGGCAGCGACACUUAUGUGUUGUUGGGUAGGGGAGCGUUCUGUAAGCCGUUGAAGGUGGCCUGUGAGGGUUGCUGGAGGUAUCAGAAGUGCGAAUGCUGACAUAAGUAACGAUAAUGCGGGUGAAAAACCCGCACGCCGGAAGACCAAGGGUUCCUGUCCAACGUUAAUCGGGGCAGGGUGAGUCGACCCCUAAGGCGAGGCCGAAAGGCGUAGUCGAUGGGAAACAGGUUAAUAUUCCUGUACUUGGUGUUACUGCGAAGGGGGGACGGAGAAGGCUAUGUUGGCCGGGCGACGGUUGUCCCGGUUUAAGCAUGUAGGCGGAUGUUCCAGGUAAAUCCGGAACGUUAUUAACGCUGAGGUGUGAUGACGAGGCACUACGGUGCUGAAGUGACAAAUGCCCUGCUUCCAGGAAAAGCCUCUAAGCAUCAGGUAACAUCAAAUCGUACCCCAAACCGACACAGGUGGUCAGGUAGAGAAUACCAAGGCGCUUGAGAGAACUCGGGUGAAGGAACUAGGCAAAAUGGUGCCGUAACUUCGGGAGAAGGCACGCUGAUGGUAGGUGAAGUGACUUGCUCACGGAGCUGAAAUCAGUCGAAGAUACCAGCUGGCUGCAACUGUUUAUUAAAAACACAGCACUGUGCAAACACGAAAGUGGACGUAUACGGUGUGACGCCUGCCCGGUGCCGGAAGGUUAAUUGAUGGGGUUAUCCUCACGGAGAAGCUCUUGAUCGAAGCCCCGGUAAACGGCGGCCGUAACUAUAACGGUCCUAAGGUAGCGAAAUUCCUUGUCGGGUAAGUUCCGACCUGCACGAAUGGCGUAAUGAUGGCCAGGCUGUCUCCACCCGAGACUCAGUGAAAUUGAACUCGCUGUGAAGAUGCAGUGUACCCGCGGCAAGACGGAAAGACCCCGUGAACCUUUACUAUAGCUUGACACUGAACACUGGUCCUUGAUGUGUAGGAUAGGUGGGAGGCUUUGAAGUGUGGACGCCAGUCUGCAUGGAGCCAUCCUUGAAAUACCACCCUUUAAUGGCUGGUGUUCUAACGUGGGCCCCUAAUCGGGGUUGCGGACAGUGUCUGGUGGGUAGUUUGACUGGGGCGGUCUCCUCCUAAAGAGUAACGGAGGAGCACGAAGGUCAGCUAAUCCUGGUCGGACAUCAGGAGGUUAGUGCAAUGGCAUAAGCUGGCUUGACUGCGAGCGUGACGGCGCGAGCAGGUGCGAAAGCAGGUCAUAGUGAUCCGGUGGUUCUGAAUGGAAGGGCCAUCGCUCAACGGAUAAAAGGUACUCCGGGGAUAACAGGCUGAUACCGCCCAAGAGUUCAUAUCGACGGCGGUGUUUGGCACCUCGAUGUCGGCUCAUCACAUCCUGGGGCUGAAGUAGGUCCCAAGGGUAUGGCUGUUCGCCAUUUAAAGUGGUACGCGAGCUGGGUUUAGAACGUCGUGAGACAGUUCGGUCCCUAUCUGCCGUGGGCGCUGGAGAAUUGAGGGGGGCUGCUCCUAGUACGAGAGGACCGGAGUGGACGCAUCACUGGUGUUCGGGUUGUCAUGCCAAUGGCAUUGCCCGGUAGCUAAAUGCGGAAGAGAUAAGUGCUGAAAGCAUCUAAGCACGAAACUUGCCCCGAGAUGAGUUCUCCCUGACCCUUUAAGGGUCCUGAAGGAACGUUGAAGACGACGACGUUGAUAGGCCGGGUGUGUAAGCGCAGCGAUGCGUUGAGCUAACCGGUACUAAUGAACCGUGAGGCUUAACCUUACAACGCCGAAG
This 2928-nucleotide ribosomal RNA is filed under the name Klebsiella oxytoca. RNAcentral's name for it is "bacterial LSU rRNA". It matches the Rfam family "Bacterial large subunit ribosomal RNA". Lineage: Bacteria; Pseudomonadati; Pseudomonadota; Gammaproteobacteria; Enterobacterales; Enterobacteriaceae. The record is from RNAcentral.